This 115-nucleotide non-coding RNA is filed under the name unclassified sequences. RNAcentral's name for it is "c-di-GMP sequence". It matches the Rfam family "c-di-GMP-II-GAG riboswitch aptamer". The record is from Rfam by way of RNAcentral.
GGACCGGCGGGAGGCACGGAUCCGAGCGGUCCUCACCGACACCCUCUGGUGCACGGAGACACGCGGUCGCCUAGACCACGUCGGGGAGCCAGAGGCGAGACCGACCCGUCGACGA